UGUAUAUUAGUGUAAAUAGCACAGAAAGCUUUGAUUUUUCAAGAAAAGGUGGAAUUCCCUUGUAUAUAA
RNAcentral lists this transfer RNA (69 nucleotides) under Cambaroides japonicus. Its description in RNAcentral is "tRNA-Gln". Lineage: Eukaryota; Metazoa; Arthropoda; Malacostraca; Decapoda; Cambaridae. The record is from RNAcentral.